CUGCGCGGGGACCGCAAGCAGCCAGCCUCCCGGAGCCCGGAGCCUCCCGAAACGUCCUGGAGACGAGCCACGCAGGACGCCCACCUUUGGGUGACGCGAUCCCUUCGGAGGGGACCUUCGAGACCCCGGCCCAGACCCCCGGGCGUUUCCUGGAGCCCCCACCCCUCCUGUCCCCACCUCACUCUCCUCUCCCGCCACUCAGGUGCCUGAUCGCACAAUCUGAGGAUUCGCCCCUUUGGACAAAAUGUUUGCUUUAAUGGCCCCAAAUGGCAGCGGCAGAGAAUGCCCAGUGAAUCACUGAACACAGCAUCUAGCGUCUGGAACGAUGGUGAAUGUGCGAUGGAGAGGACCAUUCGUGGUUUGCAAGUUGGACUACAUCCAGUCCCAGGAAACAAUCCGGGGCCCUGUAUGCAAAGUCACCCCAAAUUUUGCAAAAGGAGCUGAGAAACCAAAGAAUGUGGCAGACAAAUCCAGUUUGUCAGAAAAGGAUAGUUUAUUAGGGAACUUACAGACAGGAGUUUGCUCUUGGGCAGCACAAGACGGGUAUAUCUCCCGCUGUAUGCCUGGGCUUGUAUGCCACAGCGAAAGAGGCUGUGUGCUCUGCAGGGAGGUGACCUUCCAGGAAAAGACAAGAAUGCGAUUUAUGUGUGUCACAGCCUGUAAACUGUGUGAUAACAUCAAACUUGUUUUGACCUGGGGCAGGAUUUAUGGUAAGUACAUACUCUUAUGCAGGGAACGGUGGAGCAGAAAUCUUCACAGGCGUUUCUGGAACUGGGUUAGUCAGAAGCCAACAGGCAGAUCAGCAUCCAGGUUGGAGUUGUGUUAUCUCACAACCACAUUGUGCCACCUUGGCUUCUUUUUGAAGUGGCAGAUAGAAACUUACAAAUAGGGUGGUAUUAAUUAUAUGUAACCUUGUCGGUGCUAUGGAUUCCAGACUCUUUUGACUUUAGUUUGCUCAUUUAAAAAAAAAAUUAAAAAGUCAAGCAACUGGAUUUGUCCUUUAAAAGCAAGAGCUUGCUAAAGGGGUAAAACUUUUACUUUCUCUUAUUUGAUUUUUUGAGACCAAGUUUUGCUCUUGUUGCCCAGGCUGGAGUGCACAUGAUCUCGGCUCACUGCACCCUCUGCCUCCUGGGUUCAAGCAAUUCUCUUGCCUCAGCCUCCCAAGUAGCUGAGGUUACAGGCGUGUGCCAUCACGCCCUGCUAAUAUUUGUAUUUUUAUUAGAGACAGGGUUCUACCAUGUUGAUCAGGCUGGUCUCGAACCUGACCUCAGGUGAUCUGCUGGCCUCGGUCUCUCAAAGUGCUGGGAUUGCAGGUGUGAGCCAGCACACCCAUACAAUUACAUACCAUUUCACAUAUGUUAAAAACUUAUCAAGACCAGGCAUGGUGGCGAAACUCCGUCUCAAAAACAAAAACAAAACAAAGCAAAAACCUUAUCAAAAUGUAUAUUUAAAACAUGUACAGCAUAAUAUAUACCAGUUAUACCUCAAUUAAACUGUGAAAAAAGGGACAAAACUAUAUGCAGACACCUUAAAAAUAGGGUUGCAAAACGCUCAGUGGCUGAUUGCUGCAGUGGUAGUCCAUCUGUAUUCCCAAAUGUGACCUCUUAGAGAACCUUAAUAAGAAUUUUAACCUAGGAAUGUCCCACCCUUAAUCUGAAUUGGAAAUUCUGAUAUUUCCUCCCAUGGAAAUCAGUUAAGGACCCAUACGUAAAACUGAUGCCUAUUCAAUGCUGGUGGCUCUGACCCCCAAGUAGUUCAAGGCCUAGAGAAAUGCUAGUGUCACUGUGGGCUUGGAGAGGCCAACAACCCAGUGAUGUCAUAAACUACCUGAGGCUCACCUGCCACAGGCUGAAGGUCACUGGGACUGCUAAGAAGUGAAGAUAAGGCCCGGCGGUGGCUCAAGCCUGUAAUCCCAGCACUUUGGGAGGCCGAGGCGGGUGGAUCACAAGGUCAAGAGAUCGAGACCAUCCUGGUCAACAUGGUGAAACCCCGUCUCUACUAAAAAAUAUACAAAAAAUUAGCUGGGCAUGGUGGCGCGUGCCUGUAAUCCCAGCUACUCAGGAGGCUGAGGCAGGAGAAUUGCCUGAACCCAGGAGGCGGAGGUUGCCGUGAGCCGAGAUCGCGCCAUUGCACUUCAGCCUGGGUAACAAGAGCAAAACUCCGUCUCAAAAAAAAAAAAAAAACAAGAAGUGAAGAUAAGCCAAGGGGCCAGAGCUCUUCCCACAGAGAGCAGGUGUCAUGCUCCAGUCCUGUGUUGAAGGAUUUUUAAAAACCAAGUAUCAGGCCAGGGGCAGUGGCUCACACCUGUAUCCCAGCACUUUGGGAGGCUGAAGUGAGAGGAUCACUUCAGGUUAGGAGUUUGAAACCAGCCUGGCCAACAUAGUGAAACCCUGUCUCCACUACAAAUACAAAAAUUAGCCAGCCAUGGUGGCAGGCACCUGUAAUCCCAGCUACUCAGGAGGCUGAGGCUGUAGAAUCGCUUGAACCCAGGAAGCUAAGGUUGCAGUGAGCCAAGAUCACACCAUUGCACUCCAGCCUGGGCAGCAGAGUGAGACUCCAUCUCAAAAACAAAACAAACCAAAACCAAAACUAAAAGAACAGGUGUCACAGAAUCAAAUAUUUAGGUAAUGGGAAAAUAGAUCCCAACUCACAGCUCUGAAAUCCAAAGAGCUCUGAAAAUCACAAACUUUUUCUUAACUCCUGACUUGAAUUAAUAUCAAGCUAGAUACAAUCCUUAAUUCUUCCAUUAAGUGGGAAAUGGAUAUACCUUCCUUAGAAAAUUGUAAGUGGUUUGAUUAUAGGGUGCUGCCCACAACAUGCUGAGCGUGCUAUCUAAUAUCACCUGUACCAUAUCACCUUUCUACAAUGCCAAAUUAGUCUGGGUGCUCAUGCCUGUAAUCCCAGCACUUUGGGAGGCCAAGGUGGGAAGAUUUAUUGAGGCCAGGAGUUUGAGACCAGCCUGGGCAAUAUAGUGAGACCCCUUCUUGUCUUAAAAACAAGCCAAAAAAAAACAAAUCAUGAAACAUUUCUGGUCCCUGAGCUUCCCAGAUAAGGGGUUGUAGACAGGUGCUGAUAACCACAUACAUCUAGUGAACACCUGUACUUGAGAUGUUAUCUUGGGAAACGCUCUCAACCCACUUGUAAAGAAGAGAGCAGUAUCCCCUUCUCACCUGGGAGGAAAACUGAAGCUGAGAGGCCUGUGUUAGAGGCCAAGUUAGAAACCACAGAACCCACCCUAGCUAUUUUAAGCAGAAAACAAAUUUAUGGACGGUCACUGGUAGCAGAAUCCUUGGAAGAUCCAGGAAGCUGGCGUCGGGCCCCAGGGCCAGGAAAGGUGCUGAGGUCUCCUUCAGGGAGCUCUAGUCAGCACAUUCUUUCUCCACAACCUCACUGGUACCAAGGAUAUUAAACGGGGUAAUAUUUGCCCAUGAAACUGCUCCCCCCCAAGAUAUCUCAUUGUUGCCUGAUUUGCAUUUCGUGACUGUGAGUUUGGCCAUCCAUUGCUCUAACAACACUUGAAUCUCUUUUUCUAUAAUCACAUCUUUUGUUCCCCACCCCUUUUUUUUGGUCUUACUCUAUUGCCCAGUUUGGAGUGCAGUGGCACGAUCAUAGCUCAUUGCAGCCUCAACUUCCCAGGCUCAAGCUGUCCUCCCAUCUCAGCCUCCCGAGUAGCUGAGACUAUAGAUGGGGGUCACCAUGCCCAACAAAUUUAAAAAAAUAUGGAGAGACGAGGGUCUCACUAAGUUACCCUGGCUGGUCUUAAACUCCUGGGCUCAAGCCAUCCUCCUGCCUCAGCCUCCUAAAAUGCUGGAAUGACAGGUGUGAGCUACCAUGUCUGGCUGUUGCCCUUUUUUGAGUGGGUUAUUGUCUCCUCUAAAAAUUGAUUCAUGUAUCUGUGCUCCCUCCCUGGGCAUUUGAUGCUGGUGACCAGUCCCUGCUCCAGGCACCCACAGGGCAGGACCCACCUUCCUGGAAGCAGUUCCACAAACCUGGGGAACGCCCAGAUGACAAAGGAAGGCAUUGAUUGCAGCCUGGGAUGGUGGAAGCACUCAGCUCCUUCCCUUCAUGGAUUCGUUACUGCCUUGUCUUGCAGAAGAGGACAAGUCACGACUGUGCUUCCGUUUGCUGAUCUCUGGAAAGGCAACCCUGAUGCUUGUGGCGGGUGAACCCCUGGCAAGUUUCCUGUGUUCUCCUCACAGCCUGGGUCACGUGGUGCUUUCUGUCUCUUGAAUCAACUUUGUGACCAAAGCACCGUGCACCGUGCUUUGCAUGGUCCCAACUGUCUGGUUUGUCUGGGACUCGGGGGCUUUUCCAGAUGCGGGACUUUCAGUGCUGGAACUGGGAAAGUCCGGGGUAAAUCAGGAUGAGUCAGCGGCCCUGCCUCGUGCUCUAGAUGAGUAAGGCCUGCAGAGGUCAAGGCUACAGCUCUCUCCACAGAGGGGAUCUUCCCUCACUGUGAGCGCAGAGCAGGAGGCUCC
This is a non-coding RNA of Callithrix jacchus (white-tufted-ear marmoset), 4478 nucleotides long. The record is from RefSeq and is a predicted model, not a curated record. NCBI's taxonomy places the organism in Eukaryota, Metazoa, Chordata, Mammalia, Primates, Cebidae.